RNAcentral lists this long non-coding RNA (631 nucleotides) under Amborella trichopoda. RNAcentral's name for it is "long non-coding RNA (ATRI_LNC003088)". Lineage: Eukaryota; Viridiplantae; Streptophyta; Magnoliopsida; Amborellales; Amborellaceae. The record is from RNAcentral.
UGGAGACAGUAUUUUUCACCCACAAUAAAUACUUUUGACUUAUUCAGUCACCCCCAAAUGAAUUUACAGUUUCUACCAAUACAAACCUGACCAAAGUCUCUCUCUCUCUCUCUCUCUCUCUCUCUCUCUCUCUCUCUCUCUCUAUACGUACGUACGUACUAGUAGUAGGUAGGAGGUAGUACGUACGUACCGUUACCGUUACGGUUACGGGUUACGGUACGGUAACGGUAACGGUNNNNNNNNNNNNNNNNNNNNUAAAUAACUUUUACGUUACUUAUUACUACGUACUACCCCAAACCUACGUAAUUACUACGUUUACUUACCUAACUAACUAACCUACGUACCAACGUACUCUCUCUCUCUCUCUCUCUCUCUCUCUCUCUCUCUCUCUCUCUCUAUAGCUAGGCAUGUGAAGGAGGAUGCCGAUUCCCAAUUGGGUUGGGUCCAGAAGGAACUUUGUGUAACCUUCGUUUGCCGGAGUUCUUGCCGACCUUCCUCCCUUGAGUAGGGGCAUUUGCUCUUUCUUUCUCCUUUGAACAAACAUAGUUAAAACAAGACAAUCAUUUAUAUGUAUAUGCACUUGCACACCCAUUUGUGUUUGCAAGUAAAUUAGUACAGACAUGUCCACGUG